Molecule: long non-coding RNA, 653 nt
Organism: Belonocnema kinseyi
Lineage: Eukaryota; Metazoa; Arthropoda; Insecta; Hymenoptera; Cynipidae
Exons: 2
Source: RefSeq, a predicted model, not a curated record
CAAAUCAUAGCAAGUUUCCGUACAAUCAAGGCCGAACAUUCAUGGUGGUAUGCUGAGAAGCGACGCGACCAGCUGUAGGAAGCUUUUCUUUGUGUUUAGUUUUUAUUAUCGACCAUUUAUCAAGUUAUUAUAGAAAAAAAGUUAGUUUUGGAAAAAUAAUGCACCUUCAUUCAAAAUAAGUGACAGCAUUGGACACGAGAUUGGCCACCUGAAAUUUGUAGACUGCUGAACAUUAUUUCUCUUUUCUUUAUAAACCAAAAUGACGGGAAUCAAUGAAACCAUGGACAGGAGUAUAAGAAUGGAAAUGGAGAAUCAAAAAGACAAAUCAAGGGCAGAAUCUCUACAUGGUUCUGUUUCUCAAUAUGAACCAAAUACAACCAAUCGUAGGUGUCAGCAUGUAAAAAUCCCUGGAGCCUUUUGCUGUGCAAACGAACAUUCGCCACUAAGUCUUUGCGAUGUAAUGGUAGUCGCGUUGUUGAUAUUUGUGAUGUGGACCGUUAUUGUUUUUAUGACUCCAUGAUGAAUAACAAGUAUAUGCAAGAACUUUUUUACUUAUUAGGACGUACGCAUUUUAUCAAUGAAAAAAUUAUUAAUUCUUAUCUCUGUAAGAUGACAUGGCCAACAACCAUAAGAAAUAAAAUCUGUAUGAAAAA